GCCCGGAGGUGAAAAAGCACUCAGCAUCUCACAGAUGCAAAACUAAUGACUUUUAAAUCUAAUAUGGCCAAGUUUUCAUGCCAAUUAUCAAAUGAAUGUUCCUAUUUCCUGUAAAGAUGUACUUUGUAAUACUCUCAGCUGCACUUUAACUGGCUACACGAUGCAGGUUGUCUGGGCGAACAAGCUGUAAAAGAAGCUAAGUGCCAAUUAAAGCUCUGGGAAGCGGCUCUUUAGCAUGAACCCAGCGAGGCACUGUAGCGUACAUAAUGUCCCUUACACAAACCCUGAGCUGCUGCCUCUCAUUUCUAAUACACUGCAGCAACACCUGCCUUAUGGGACCCAGGACAUUCCUGUGGAAAAUCAACAAUGGCAGGCUUUUGGAAAAACACUCUGUUUAUUUUUAAUCUAAUUGUUCCAAACCAUAUCAAGUGGAAGGAAAGGUUUUUGACAUUAUCCCUCUGUUAGACUUAAAUGACAGAGAAGAUCAACAGAGCAGUUUGCUGUUAAUUACAUAUUUACUGUUACCAAGCUGAAAGUAGCUUUGGGAUCAAAUUCUGUCAAUCCUCCAAGACAAGGUCUUAAGCAAUUGGGCUGAUUAUACUUCCCUAAGUUUACAUGCACUGAAUUUUUCAUACUUCCUUAUGUUUAAAUCAAUUGUAUUGUGGGAGAAAACAAAUAAAUGGGUUUUUUCCCUAUUUACUUCUUUCCACAGUCUCCUGUCUGUUUAUGUACACAGACUAGAAUUCUCUCUGCAGUUUCUCUAGGGGUGAUAACAGCAAGGCUUUUUUCCUCUGCAAACAUAUACGACUUUGCUGAAUUAAUAGAAACAUGGAAAAGAAGGAACAGCAACAGAUGCAGUGUAUUCUUUUGGAAAGCAUGGAGGAAAUAGCCUGGAUUGUCUUCCUUGGCCAGAUCAUCUUCAGAGUAGAUCUCAGAUAUCCUUGGGAAUACCAUGAGGACACCAGUAUUCUGUAGGUAUGCAGGAGUUCACAACUUACCUAGUGGAGUUUAAUGAUGAAGAGAUGCUUCCUGUGUGUUUAAGGAUUUUCAGCAAACGUAGCACAAAUGAGAUAAUCAGUCUUGCUGCAACCCUUACAUCAGCUUCCAGCCAUCCCAUGGAAAUGUUUAUUUUGCAGAUGGUCAGCUUGACCUACUGACUUUAUAAUAGGAAACUAUUCCUAUGUCUCAGUUUAUCAUAACACAGAUAAACAAGUGCAGCCCAAGCCAUUCUGAAGAACUGAGGAGACAGGUGUUCCAAGUCAAAAGUUUAAUAAGAGGUAUCUUCAAGGAAAACCUCCUGUAACAGGGGCACUUGAAUUCAAAUGUAAUUAAUCACAAAAAUUGAUCGCAAAACCAGUGGAACAGGAAGUUAGCCAGAGCUGAAGCUGUUGAGCUGCUGCUUCCACAACAGUAGCACAAUUCUUUGUGCAUUUCUGUGAUUUCUGUGACACUAAGAGUGCUGGAAUUCAAUGGAGUGGAAAUGAAAGCCAGCAAUGUGAAUUGCAAUAUGACAUUCUGACAGCAGAUUUACUGAAGCCCACAGAAGUCAUCAUGGAAAAAAUAAGUACUUUAAAAGAAAGAAAUUGAAUAGUAUAGACCUGUCAUACUCCUGCUUCCUAGUAUCUGCUACUUCUCCUGGUAUUAUGCUCAGCCUUCCAGUGCCCCUUGGGCAUUGAAGCUUUCAGAAGUAAGAGAGAAUCAUGCAGCUCAAAUCUUUGACCAUGAAGAAUAUGAUAUUUUUGAUUUCUCCCUUCUCAUCUUGGGAGCUUCUUGAGGAAUGAUGCGGAGUGCAUUCAGAGAAGGAUCUAUUGUAUAAAACAAAGCCUUUCUUCCAGUCACUCUGGAGAACAAUACCGUGUGAGAACAGUGCUGUGCUUUAAAUCAUUAAAGAUAACUUCUUGCCAGGUGUGAUAGACUGGGGUGCUUACACUCUAUUCCUCUGAGCACUUUGAAGAAACUACUACAUUUGUCAAAUGACAAAAAGAAUCAUCUUAAGAGAGUCAAUUGAGAUACAUCAAAAGCAACUGGAAAAUCUGCAGUCCCAGUGACAUCUAUCUACCUGUUGCUUUGUCAGAUUUUCCAUUCAAGUCAUGUCAUUUCAGGUACCUCUUCCCAAUCUCAAGGAAAUCACCUGUUUUGUGAACCGCGGAUGCUGUUAAAAUUGAUGUGGAAAACAAUGAUCCAGAAAUUAUCUGUGUGAGGAAUUUCUUUAAAACGCCAGAGCUGUUGUAUGGUAACAAAUUGUAUCAGAAUUGAACACGGGGGUGAUGCUAAACCUCCUGCUGCUUAAAAAAACAUUUUUUGAACUGGUGUCUUACAGUGCUGUACUAUCAUUGCCGGUUGAAAGCAUUUGUGCAUAAAUAUGAAUUUACCAUGGUUCUUGUAAACCAUGACAAAAGGCUGUGCUGUGGCAGGAAAAGUAACACGGAUGGACUUUGAAAGUCUAAAAGCCAGUAAUACUCUUAAUAUGGUGACUGAGCACUCUAAGUCUCUGGCUUGGGGUAUCAUUUGCCUUAAUUACUUGUGGAUCAUCUGUCUUAAAGUGCUGACUUGUUCCUGAAAACAUAAGGUUGGUGAUGCAGUGAAAGUCAACUGAAAAAUCUGAUCUAUAACUUCAAUUAAUAUUUUCUUACAAGUAAUUACACAAAUAUAAACAACUUAGAAAAAUAUCAAACCCUCAAAAUAGCAGGUUUAUCUUUUACUCUCUCUUUACCCCCCUUUCCAAAGGAAAAAAAAAAAAAAAAAAGAAAAGCUACUGAUACAGUAAAUCAGAGAUAAAGACAUCCAAAAUGUAUGAACUUUCAGAAAUGGAAAUUUGAUAGGCAGAGGCCAGUUUCCAAAAUUAUAAAGAAAUACUGCAAAAGUAAUUUAUUGAAAAUAUUUAGAACUGAAUGCUCCAGAAUCAAGAGGACAAAGUGUAGGAAGAAGUUAAAUCAGGCAAAGCUUAGACAGUAUUAACAGGUUAUGUUCAUUAAUUAGUUGUAGCAUUUCACCACAGUACAAAACAGGAUUUUUAGAGUACAAAGAGCAUAAAAAAAUCCUAAUGUCAUUUUUAAUUGAACAAAAGAAAUCUGCACCAAUUUCUGGCAACUUUGGUGGAGAAAGAGAAGGACAUUCAAAUCAAGAAGAAGUAGUAGCAGUAGGUUUGCAUUAGGAAUUAGCAGUUAAUUUAAGAGCAGAACAUUCCUGAGUUGAUUGAAAGCAAACUAAGUCCAUCAAACUAAAUGUCAGCAAAGUUUUGAGUGCUUAUAGCCCACAACUGUUUCUCAUAAGGGAUACAAAGUUUGGCACUGAGCAAGGCUCCAAGGGUAUGUUACAUUUUUUAUCAGACCUUGGAAUUCAUCCAUUUUGGGGUGGUAUCACAGGAAGCUGUUUUGGUUGCAGUCCUUUUUGUCAAGAUGAACCAUAGUUGUGUUACUUUUGUUUACAUUUUGUUCCAUGUUUUUCCUUCAAUUGAAUACCUGUCUGUAUGCAAAUAAACUCAUUUUUAAGAGGCAGCAUGAAUGAUAGAAUUGCAGCAUAAAUUAGUAUCAUCUCACCUGAUUUUUGCAGGUCUUACCAAAUCAUGUUACAAAUGAAAUUCCCCACUUAGCUACAUCUAGCUCUAUGAUUAACUUUUGUAGCUGGUCUGAUUUCAUUGUGAUUGAUAAUCAACUUUCUCUUACGGCAAAGAAAGUUACAGUACUGCACAAAGAAACUACAUAAAACCAUCUUUCUGGGGCAUCUGUACUGAUAAGCAACAGUGCACAUGGACAGAAGAUAAUCAAUGCCAAUUACACUGCGAAAAAGCCUCUGCUAUUCUCAAAUGGUAACUUCUAUCACCUCUGUAAUAAAGGCCUGCUACAAGCUCUGUUACAAAUCCCUGUUCUUCUGAAAUAUAUAACAGUUCUCUAAGAUAAAGCUUUGUAUAAUAAAUGUAAUAUCCAAGAGCAAGUGUGAAAUUACCCACUCACUUUCCAGCAGGCAAUAAAACAGGGCAGUUGAAGCAGUUAUGUGCCAUACGUAAAUGACAGGAAAUUGUAGGCUGGUAGGAAUCUGUUCCUCUGGUCAAGCAGGGUUUUCAGUUUCUGUCUCCAGUAGACAGCCUGCACUCCACUGAGUGCUUUCCCUGCAAAAUCAGUCUUGUUUCUGCUUCUUCCUUUUGGACUUAGCAUGUCCAAGGGCAGAAUGAGCAAAGAGGCUGACCACGCACUGCCCUGGGAGGCUUAAGCUGCUUCUGUUUCUUCAGAUUUUCACAGCAGCUGUGAACAGGGUUCUUCCAUUCUCAUUAGUUCAGCCAUUUCUCUUACAGGUCUCUGUAUCUGGUUAUGAUGUUAUUUAGUAACCAGCAGCAGACAGACAAUUCAAGAUAAUUAAGUCAGUCAAAGCAGUUGCAAAAAGUUUAAUCUUUUUCACCAGAUCUAGUAAAAUGCUUUGUAUGUACUUACAUAUAUACAUCCCUUUGUUCUAUGUUGCAUGUUGUAACACACAACAACGCUUGCUAGUGUGCCCCAGCCAAACCAUUUUUAGUUAUUUUUACCAGAGCCCUCAGAGUAGGACCAGGCUGGAAUUACUCUCACUGGCUUCACCUGCCCUUUCCACCUUCAGCUGCAGCACAUCAGCACCAAAAGGGUUUUUAAGCUCCAGUUUGAAGGUUUUGGGGGUGGGAUAGGUAUAGAUUUUGAUGUUUUGGUUUCCUGGACUAACUUGAUUGCUGAUCACUGGAUGGGUUUUGUUGCUGUCAUCAUCUUGAUGCUGCUUGCCUGGCUCAGGAGCCCCACCUGUUAGAGCCCUCAGGAAUUCAUCAAGGACUGAAAGGUAAACUAUGCUGAAUUGGGAAAGAAAAAGCUGAAAAACUGAAUUCCAAGACAGCAAGGAAUAGCUAAAAAGGACUGUGCUCCACUGGAUUAAAACCAAUCAUAUUAUCAGAAAAGUGCGUGCGGAGCUCAGGGACAAAAUAGAGAAACCAAUCAAGCAAUGUGUGAUCUCAUGCACAGCAGUUGCAAAAUGUACGUGUAUUGUAUUAUGGAUAAGUUGUAAAAUGUGUAAGUUGUGUAUUAUGUAAAGAUUGUAAGAUGUGUAAGUAAGUAAAAUGCAUAAGUACUGUGUUACAAAGAAGUUGUAAAAAGUGUAAGUAAGAAAAUGUGUAAGUAGAGUGAUACGUACAUGUAUAAGUACAUAAGAUAAGCAAGUGAAAUGUAUAAGUAAGCAAAGUGUAUAAGUAAGGUAUUAUGUCAAAGUUGUGAGAUGUGUUAGUGGAGUAUAUUUUAAACAAUAAGAUGCUUCUGCAUAAUCAUAUUGAUUCAUUGAUCAGAAGGCCUGAGUUCCUGCAGUUGUGGCCGGCAACCGGCUACCCACCAGCCACUCUCUCACACCCUCACCGCAUCCAUCCCCCAGGAGCUGGAGGAAAGAAUAGGAAGAGUAAAAGUGAGAAAAAUAUGUGGUUCAAGAUAACGACAGUGUCAUAAUCUGUUUUAUAAUAACAAUGAGCUGCUGUUUGAAAAUGUAUUGGAUUGAAAUGGGAAAUAAAUAAUAAGGAAAUAUUUCUAGCUCAGCUCCACCAUUUUAAACCCAUUAACAUCAGUGGACCUGCUUCUGAUGAAAAUAGAAUCAAAGGUAAAGUAGGAGACAGUUGCACCUGAUGAACCAGUAGCAUCUGACACUUGUUAGCUACAGUCUUGUUUUUAAUCAAAAGUAGGGUAGAUUAACACAUGGAAAACCUGAAUUUAUUGUACAUGGCAUUUUGUAAACUUCAAGAUGAAUCUGAAGACUUACUUCAGCAUGAGGUUUUUCCUAGAUUUGAGUGUGAUCUUAACUGAAUCUUAUGCAUGGGAUUUUGCCUUCCAUACCCACUGAAAUGAUUAUUUUAUUGUUUUAAAGAUUUAAAUCGUAAGUGCAGUCAAUUUUGAAAAACUAAUAAUAAUUUUACAAGCCACAUUUUUCUGUAAAUAAAUGCCUCGAUGUAAAUUAUAUCUACAGAAUUCUCAUUUAUUCUUGUUCAUCUUCAUUUACUGGUAAUUUAUUUUAUAAAUAUAGGGUUAAGACAAUAAAUCUGACAUUGUUUAUGGAAAACAGCCUCAAUUAUUUUCAGAAAGAAGACUUUAAAAGAAGUGAUUAAACACCUAUUCUCUAAACUGCCAAAAAAAACCCAAAAGAAGGGGUUAUUCUAAGACCCUGCUAUUCACCCAGUGUAUUAAAAUCUAGGGUUUGUCCAAGGUUUCAGAUCCCUUAAUCAUGCUAGCUUAGCUUCAGUGGUACAUUUUUAGCAUGUAGUUAGAACAGUACAAUUGCUACUUCAUGCAGCUGCAAGAAAAUGUAGCUGCUUAACUCCAGUGUGCCAAAUACAACACGUAGUCUUGCAAGGCUUGGAGCAACAUCUGCUCUCAUAAAUUUGCUAUAAUAAGACUCCCUCGACCGGAGUGUUGGAUGUCUGACCCUGCUCUUGUCAGGGUGGUUAAAUGCAAUGUAGCAUUCCACCAACUGUCUUGUUCUUUUUUGGAUGGAUGAGUGUAAAGUCAGGUAGAGUGUGGCUGUGCAGAGGUAAGAUAAAUGGAAAUGGCACUUCAGUAACACUAAUGCAGGUACUAAAAUAAUAUUAUAUCAGAAUGAGGUAGUAUCUGGACAAAUAAUUUUCCUGCAGUACCUCAAUCAUUUAUGUGGCAUCUUGAACUGCUGCUGUGUGCAGCAUCAAUUUCUGUACUUUAGAGUAUGUAUGGAAACUGGGAAUUGGUGCUUUGAAUUUUCUCAUGUGCUUCUCUUAAAAGUCAUUGAAAGGAAGCCCACCGAAUAAAGUUUUUGUUUUAGCAGAUUUCUCAAGUAAUGUAAUAUUUCUGAAGAUGGCACCAGUCAGAAUACUGACUUGCCAGCACUGAAAUACUAGAUAUUUUAGUGUAAAAUAUCCAACAUUUUUUUAAAAUCCAAAAUACAGAACACUAGGUGUUUCUUAAAAGUUUUAGUCUGUUUCAAUUUUUCCUUAUUUUUGUGCAAAAGUGCCUGUUAAUUGUUUGAUUUUGCAUGUUUAAGUUAAUUAAUUUCUAAAGUUUCACUCCACCAACCACUUCUUAUUUGCUCUUUAAUAAAAUUUGCAACUCUAAUUCACUUGUCUCCCUGCUACAAAAGGAAUAUGUUGAAGGAUGACUUCUGUUCAUCCCUGGCUGAUACUAUUGAACUCCAGUGGACAAAACAGAUUAUUUAAUCAACAUUUAUUUGGCUUGCACUGUGUGUAUUACACUCUACCCUACACAGCCAGGCUGUCAAGGAUUCCAUGCUUUUCCAAGAAACAUAUCCUCUUGUUCCCAAAGCACAAGCAGACAUUUAAUACCCGAGCUGUUUUCACUCCACUUCUUCCAAACUCUUCCAACCCUUUCUCUUCUGGAGAAGUAUUAGUGCCACCAUCAUGUAGAAGGGCUCAAACCUACUUGAACUUAUUAGCAAGUUUUCUGUCAGCUCUUUGCUUUCAAUUUGCUGUGAUGCCUAAUUUUGUUCUGCCUGGCUGAAUUGGCUGGGAUAGUCAUCCAUUAUUCCCUGCUUUCUGGACCAAGUGGGCUUUAGGAUUGUGCUGCAGGGUUGGAGAAAACCAGAGUUCCCUAGUCCAGAGCCCUGUGAACAGUGUCCUCAGCCCACUGGAGCUUUCACCUGCUUCCAGAGCCCUGACUCAAAAGUAAGGACAGUGUGGUCUCCCUGAUUUCAAGUUUUAGUUUGACACCUACUGUGGUAGCUUUAGCAUGUUAACUGCUAAGAAGCCUUAAGAACUGCUAAGGAAGAGGACUUCUAACUUUCUUUCAGUCCUUAAUUUCUUCUUUUUCUGCUCUCUGCUUAUUUAUGAAGAAGUCCCUGUGCAAGUGUAGGAGAACACUGGAAAUGCCAACUUCUCAUCCAAGGCAAAUUCUAUGCAAAUGCUUUAGAAAUCCUGCUGUGCUCACCUUGUGUACAGAUUGGUUUCAAUCAUUUUUCAGUCUGUUUCAGAGUCUUAUGCACAAAUAUAAACAAAAUGUGAGCACUGUGAAAAAUACCCAGAACAUAAUAAACCUCUGACCACAUUUCCACCAGUCUAGGGCACGUGCUGUACAGUUUUACUCUCAGCAGAAAUUCUCAGGCACACAGUGAUCACUCUGGAAUGUGAUUUUGUAACACUGUGCUCUGGUGAGAGUUAGUUUUGAGGGCUUGGCUGUCGUUUUUUCCUAUAGGGGCAGUGCUGUUCCUCCAUGUGAGCAGUGAUUUUAAUAAGGAAGGGAACUGAGACAUUCCUCCCUUAGCACACUGAAUUCCUAUUUUACAACAUUAUAUAACUCUAAUCCCUGUUUCAGCACUUCAGCAGGAUGAAAGUGGCAGGUAUUUGGCUCUUUUCCUGUCACAUAACCACAGUGUAAUGGUGGAUUUAGCAGGGUGAAGUGAGGAUUUUCAUCUCUUACUACUUCUUAUGCCUGUCUCUGAAGCCAGUAAUAGUCAUGCCCCCUGUGGGUGUUCAGGACUGGUGUUUAGGGGCCAAAAGACUGUUCCUUUUUCCGGACAGUGAGUUGAAUUAAAAGUGAAGCUGCAAGUAGUUUGUCCUUGGAUGAGGGAGGAAAUCUUUGGUUUAUUGUUGAACUCAGGGCUCAGGAAGUGGUGUAAGUUGAAUAUGUAAGUUUUUGGCAGAUAUUGUGUUUCUACCAGAUAUGGAGGAGGAAUAAGGAGUUGAGAAUAUACGAUUGAAACAUUGCAUUUAGAAUUUAAAAUGGAUGCAUUGUGGCAGCAGUGCUAUCUAAAUUGUCUUUGUAACUCUCUUUCACUUUUUACUGCAUUUUUAAUUUAGCCUGUGAUGCACUACAUGUGCAUAGGGAUAAAAUACCAAACUUACUCACUUGGCAGAUUGGUCUCAUAAGACUGUCUGGUCUGUAGUAAAAAGCAAAGUGUUAAGUCAGGUUCUGAAGACAGGAGCAAUAAGAGUUUUAGAUAUAUUCAGCCCAUUUACUCCCUGAGAAAAAAGGGGUGGUAUACUAAGCAAAUGUCAGAAUUAGGGGCAUAUUCCACACUUCUGUUAACACUGACCAUCAAAACUAAGAAGCUCUAAGUCAGGUCUAAAGAGUACCCAGUCUCACAGUAGGUUUCUGCCCUCCGGGAGUCUUUUACAUUCAACCACUGGAUAGUUUAGUAGACUCUUCUUGAAGUAAAAACAUAGUCAGGAACUAAGAUCAAAAUGUUAAAACUUAACCAGGUUUUUUAUUUAAGGACUAUCAACUUAUGAAAUAAAAAAGUGGAGAUAUUAAUAAGUUUUAAAGGUAAAUAAUAGCAAAAUGGUGGCAACUACUUCCUUUAGAUUGUUAAAAUAAUUACUCUAAGUUAUUUUCUGAGAGAGAAAAACAAUUUCUUAAUUAGAAGAAUGUUGAAGUCGCUCAAAAACAUUUUCAUAAUUUUGACAGAGGAAAAGCUGUGUUUUGUUUUGUUACUCUUUUAUUCAGUAAAUGCAGUUCGUAGAAGAGCAAGAGCACUCUGCAGUUGAACCAUCAGAUUUUAGUUCAUGCAUUAAGCAGUCUCUUCAAAUGUGUGUUAUAAGCAUGAUAUAGCAGCCCUAUCAUUAUUAUGUGUCUGAAACUGAGUAAUGUCCAAUAAAAUUGCCAGAAAUACCA
Molecule: long non-coding RNA, 9584 nt
Organism: Corvus hawaiiensis (hawaiian crow)
Lineage: Eukaryota; Metazoa; Chordata; Aves; Passeriformes; Corvidae
Exons: 11
Source: RefSeq, a predicted model, not a curated record